AACAACUCACCUGCCGAAUGAAUUAGCCCUGAAAAUGGAUGGCGCUGAAGCGGGUAGCCGACACUACGCCAUCUGAGCAAUUUUUGCCUUAGAUGAGUAGGAGGACGUGGCGGUUGUAUAGAAGCGUGUGCGCAAGCAUGCGUGGAACGGCCGCUAGUGCAGAUCUUGGUGGUAGUAGCAAAUAUUCAAAUGCGAACCUUGAAGGGCGAAGCGGGGAAGGGUUCCACGCGAACAUUGAUUGAGCGUGGGUAAGUCGUCCCUAAGCCGUCUGGUAAUUGCUAGACACCGGCGAAAGGGAAGCAGGUUGAUAUUCCUGCACACGGAUGUAGAUGCGGUGACGCACGCUGAGGCGGUGACGUCGUCGGGCCGCACUGGGCAGAGAUUUCUUUUCUGUUUAACAAACCAAACGCACUCUGUGGAAUCCGAUUGUCGGGAGAAACAGGUGUGUUGUGGCAUAGCGCCGGGAUUUUUCUGGCGUCCAGUUCGCGACCGACGGCCCCUGAAAAACCGUCUGCUGGCAGGUGAUUUAUCAUCUGUGGAAAAAUUCUACGCCGUAACGUACCGAUAACCGCAUCAGGUCCCCAAGGUGAACAGCCUCUGCUCGAUAUGAAAAAU
RNAcentral lists this ribosomal RNA (615 nucleotides) under Alsidium cymatophilum. Its description in RNAcentral is "eukaryotic LSU rRNA". It matches the Rfam family "Eukaryotic large subunit ribosomal RNA", at positions 1284 to 1900 of the family's 3401-position model. Lineage: Eukaryota; Rhodophyta; Florideophyceae; Ceramiales; Rhodomelaceae. The record is from RNAcentral.